AUGAACGCUGGCGGCGUGCCUAAUACAUGCAAGUCGAGCGAACAGACGAGGAGCUUGCUCCUCUGACGUUAGCGGCGGACGGGUGAGUAACACGUGGAUAACCUACCUAUAAGACUGGGAUAACUUCGGGAAACCGGAGCUAAUACCGGAUAAUAUAUUGAACCGCAUGGUUCAAUAGUGAAAGACGGUUUUGCUGUGACUUAUAGAUGGAUCCGCGCCGCAUUAGCUAGUUGGUAAGGUAACGGCUUACCAAGGCAACGAUGCGUAGCCGACCUGAGAGGGUGAUCGGCCACACUGGAACUGAGACACGGUCCAGACUCCUACGGGAGGCAGCAGUAGGGAAUCUUCCGCAAUGGGCGAAAGCCUGACGGAGCAACGCCGCGUGAGUGAUGAAGGUCUUCGGAUCGUAAAACUCUGUUAUUAGGGAAGAACAAAUGUGUAAGUAACUAUGCACGUCUUGACGGUACCUAAUCAGAAAGCCACGGCUAACUACGUG
Molecule: ribosomal RNA, 496 nt
Filed under: uncultured bacterium
Lineage: Bacteria
Description: partial 16S ribosomal RNA
Rfam family: Bacterial small subunit ribosomal RNA
Source: RNAcentral